Molecule: ribosomal RNA, 329 nt
Filed under: uncultured eukaryote
Lineage: Eukaryota
Description: partial 18S ribosomal RNA
Rfam family: Eukaryotic small subunit ribosomal RNA
Source: RNAcentral
CCCUUAGAUGUUCUGGGCCGCACGCGCGCUACACUGACGAUGGCAACGAGUUUUUCCUUCGCCGAAAGGUGUGGGUAAUCUUUUGAAACAUCGUCGUGCUGGGGAUAGAUCAUUGCAAUUUUUGAUCUUGAACGAGGAAUUCCUAGUAAGCGCGAGUCAUCAGCUCGCGUUGAUUACGUCCCUGCCCUUUGUACACACCGCCCGUCGCUACUACCGAUUGAAUGGUUUAGUGAGGACUCCUGAUUGGCGCCGCCGCCCCGGCAACAGAGCAGCGGACUGCCGAAAAGUUGUUCAAACUUGAUCAUUUAGAGGAAGUAAAAGUCGUAACA